This 1687-nucleotide ribosomal RNA is filed under the name unidentified. RNAcentral describes it as "bacterial LSU rRNA". It matches the Rfam family "Bacterial large subunit ribosomal RNA", at positions 1261 to 2925 of the family's 2925-position model. The record is from RNAcentral.
CUGUGAGGCAUGCUGGAGGUAUCAGAAGUGCGAAUGCUGACAUAAGUAACGAUAAAGCGGGUGAAAAACCCGCUCGCCGGAAGACCAAGGGUUCCUGUCCAACGUUAAUCGGGGCAGGGUGAGUCGACCCCUAAGGCGAGGCCGAAAGGCGUAGUCGAUGGGAAACGGGUUAAUAUUCCCGUACUCGGUGUUACUGCGAAGGGGGGACGGAGAAGGCUAGACCGGCCGGGCGACGGUUGUCCCGGUUCAAGCGUGUAGGUGGGAAGAAUUGGUAAAUCCGUUCUUCUGUGAACACUGAGGCGUGAUAACGAGGCACUACGGUGCUGAAGUGGUUGAUGCCCUGCUUCCAGGAAAAGCCUCUAAGCAUCAGGUAACAGUGAAUCGUACCCCAAACCGACACAGGUGGUCAGGUAGAGAAUACUCAGGCGCUUGAGAGAACUCGGGUGAAGGAACUAGGCAAAAUGGUGCCGUAACUUCGGGAGAAGGCACGCUGGCAUUAGGUGAAGGGACAUGCGCCCGGAGCCGAAGCCAGUCGCAGAUACCAGCUGGCUGCAACUGUUUAAUAAAAACACAGCACUGUGCAAACACGAAAGUGGACGUAUACGGUGUGACGCCUGCCCGGUGCUGGAAGGUUAAUUGAUGGGGUUAGCGGCAACGCGAAGCUCUUGAUCGAAGCCCCAGUAAACGGCGGCCGUAACUAUAACGGUCCUAAGGUAGCGAAAUUCCUUGUCGGGUAAGUUCCGACCUGCACGAAUGGCGUAAUGAUGGCCAGGCUGUCUCCACCCGAGACUCAGUGAAAUUGAACUCGCUGUGAAGAUGCAGUGUACCCGCGGCAAGACGGAAAGACCCCGUGAACCUUUACUAUAGCUUGACACUGAACCUUGAACCUUGAUGUGUAGGAUAGGUGGGAGGCUGUGAAGUGUGGACGCCAGUCUGCACGGAGCCAUCCUUGAAAUACCACCCUUGAAUGUUUGAUGUUCUAACGCAGGCCCGUCAUCCGGGUCGCGGACAGUGUCUGGUGGGUAGUUUGACUGGGGCGGUCUCCUCCCAAAGCGUAACGGAGGAGCACGAAGGUUAGCUAAUCACGGUCGGACAUCGUGAGGUUAGUGCAAUGGCAUAAGCUAGCUUGACUGCGAGAGUGACAGCUCGAGCAGGUACGAAAGUAGGUCAUAGUGAUCCGGUGGUUCUGAAUGGAAGGGCCAUCGCUCAACGGAUAAAAGGUACUCCGGGGAUAACAGGCUGAUACCGCCCAAGAGUUCAUAUCGACGGCGGUGUUUGGCACCUCGAUGUCGGCUCAUCACAUCCUGGGGCUGAAGUAGGUCCCAAGGGUACGGCUGUUCGCCGUUUAAAGUGGUACGCGAGCUGGGUUUAGAACGUCGUGAGACAGUUCGGUCCCUAUCUGCCGUGGGCGUUGGAAGAUUGAAAGGGGCUGCUCCUAGUACGAGAGGACCGGAGUGGACGCACCACUGGUGUUCGGGUUGUCAUGCCAAUGGCACUGCCCGGUAGCUAAGUGCGGAAGAGAUAACCGCUGAAAGCAUCUAAGCGGGAAACUUGCCUUGAGAUGAGUCUUCCCUUGUCCCUUGAGGAUACUGAAGGAACGUUCAAGACGAGGACGUGGAUAGGCUGGGUGUGUAAGCGUAGCGAUACGUUGAGCUAACCAGUACUAAUGAACCGUGAGGCUUAACCU